AUUAUGAGUGCAAGGCAAUGUGGCUUUGGAACAUUGCACUGUGAUUUUCCUGUAUUGCCGCUCAACCAUCAAACAAACCGUGUAAAGGUAAAACAGACAGCAGUCUAGUAGGUGUAGGGGGCUCAGAAUUGUAACAUCCCUCUCAAGUCUGUGGUGUCUACAGAAAGUGUAGUAUGCUGUGCAAAUAGGCAAAUGUUUAAAAACAAAAUUUUACAUACAACAUUUCACUCUCUCACUCCAAAACACUACAUGCACACCCUUCUCAACACAACUCAUCCAAUGUGUUUCUUUCCAACAAACAAAAAAGUGUAAACCAAGUGUAGGGAAAUUCGUCAGGGAACAGUCCGGGGUAGUCAAGUCAAUAUAAAAAAAUUAAACACUGUAUCACAACUAAAGCACUAUAAGCAUCUGCUUUAGGAAAACAAUCAAGCCCCUCUAAUGACUGCUUUGAAUUCUAUAGUUUCAGCAAUGCAAUACACACAAUAGCGCAAACAAGUAGCUAAUAGUAUUUAUACUAAUAAUGCAUCCAUGAUGAAACACCUUGUUAGUCCACGUGUUACCUAAAGAGAACAGGAAAAGAGAAAGGACAAUCGGAAACCUUGUCCAAAUGUCAAGUCAAACAAUGCUUUGUAAUUAAUUACCAGCUCCGAGUUUCUUACUAAUCUGGCAUGGCUUAAGAAAAAAGUUAGUAUUAAUGAAUAAACACUGGGGGCUAGCUAGGGGGCCGCAAAAGGACCAAAAAAAGACAACUUAAAAAAAACACAACUCAAAAACUCCUAAAUACAAACCUGAUACCGAUAAGAGGCUAAAUUCUCCCAACUGUAUGUAGUUUUAGCAACUACCCACGUCAUCUCAGUUCUAUGAAUAGGGAUAACUUACCAUCUAAUUGAUGGUCUAUGUACAUGAAUCCUGCAUUACAGCGGGGGACGCUCUAUGGAGGAUUUCUCUGUCGCUGGUUGGUUCUUCCCGGCUCAACACUACAAGGCAGGGCAGAAUCCAAUGUAGGGUCGGUUGUAGUGCUGUCUGAAUUCGAGAAAGAAAAGCACACACGAAAGGGGUGCUGUUACUCAUGCCUUCCACCAUUUUAUUUUGGACAUUAGCUGUGCCUUGUAGCGGGGAAGGAGAUAACUGAAUACCGAGAAAGGUCAGUAGGCCAUAAAGAGCAAAGGGUAACUCUUCUGAACAGUCCAGAAAUCGCUGAUUACCUCGGGUUUCAGUAUGCCAAUGUCGCGGUGUGGGCAUCACUGUAUUUAUGCCAUACAGGCUCCACUAAAUAGCGGGGAGCCGCAACUUCAGUGCAGCAGCAGACUCGACAACAAGUGUUAAGUUGGUCGGGUUCGGGUAUACACGGCAGUCAAUGUAUGACAAAUCAUUGAUGCCGCAGAGGAAAUAUAAAGGCAAACCGGCCUAGCCCUCAGUAUUUUAUUAAAUACAGCAAGGCAGUAUGCCAUAAACGGGCUGUAGUACCGCCGAAGUGCUGAGAUCUAGCUUGUUCCUACCUGUGGUCGUAAUCCCUCGUACCACUCUGUGUACUCCUCCGAGCCAGCUGGUCACUGCCAGAGAUUAGCCCGGGCGAUCUCCAGACUCAUCGUCUUGCCGGCACAAGAUGUUGUGUCAGUACGAUGGUAUGUAAUUACCCAUGGAGAUACACUUUAUGCAUGUGUAACCACAUCGUGUCAUAACUCCACACCUAGGCCCACUCCUGCAAUUAGUUCUUAUUCAGAAGUUAAAUGCAUAUUUGUGGCAGUAUCAAAGCAUGGAGAUGGGCAUUCUGUCUGGUGUUUCUUUUGCAGUAAGACCAGGGCAAUCCAACGGUUUCAUUGAAACAAGGCAUCACAAAGGCCUGCGGCGGGUGUUGACACGAUGUGAUUUCUGCCCAGUGCUCUGAAUGUCAAAGUGAAGAAAUUCAAUGAAGCGCGGGUAAACGGCGGGAGUAACUAUGACUCUCUUAAGGUAGCCAAAUGCCUCGUCAUCUAAUUAGUGACGCGCAUGAAUGGAUGAACGAGAUUCCCACUGUCCCUACCUACUAUCUAGUAAACCAUAGCCGGGGGAAUGGGCUUGGCAGAAUCGGCUGGGAUAGGAGACCCUGUUGAACGUUACUUCAAGUCUGGACUGUGAGGAGACAUGAGAGGUGUAGGCUAGGUGGGAGGCCCUCAGGCCAGCAGUGAAAUACCACUACUGUCAUAAUUCUUUCAUUUACCUAGUGAGGCGGCGGGACAAGCCUAUGGGACUAUCACUUCUGGUUCCAUGCACCUGUCUUCUGCCAGGUCUGACCCACUCCGGGGACAUUGGCAGGUGGGGAGCUUGACUGCGGCAGUACACCUGUUCUAAGAUAACACAGUUGUCCUAAGAAAAGCUCAGGGAGGACCUUCAACCAGCAGAGCCGGAUGGCAAAAGCUUGCUGGAUCUCUAUUUUCUGUAUGGAGAAAGACUGCAUGAGCGGGGGCCUCACAACCCUUCUGACUUUUUCUUUUUCCAGCAGGAGGUGUCAGAAAAUGACCACAGGGAUAACUGUCUUGUGGCGAUCAAGUAUCCAUAGCAAUGUCAGCUCUUCCUAUAAUGAAGCAGAAUUCAGCAAAUGUUGGAUUGUUUACCCACUAAUAGGGAAUGUGAGCUGGGUUUAGACCGUUGUGUGAAGGGUUAGUUUUACCCUACCAAUGUUGUGUUGUUGCAAUAGUAAUCUUGCUCAGUACAAGAGGAACUGCAUGUUCAGGCGUUUGGUGUAUGUGCUUGGCUGAGGAGCCAAUCGGGCGAAGCUGAUAUCUGUGGGAUUAUGACUAAAUGCCUCCAAGUUCGAAUCCCCCCUAAACUGUAAAGGUAAUGCAGCACUGUGGAGCCUCGGUUGCCCUAGGCCAGCCGGCCUCUGAGCCGGUGCAUAGAGCUGCUUGCCUCAGGACUCGAGUGUGGACAGAAGGGAAUAGUUUCUUACCUGUAACUCCAUUUCUCCAGCUC
This 2952-nucleotide ribosomal RNA is filed under the name Ambystoma mexicanum (axolotl). Its description in RNAcentral is "eukaryotic LSU rRNA". The stretch from base 1749 to 2952 matches the Rfam family "Eukaryotic large subunit ribosomal RNA", at positions 1890 to 3289 of the family's 3401-position model. Lineage: Eukaryota; Metazoa; Chordata; Amphibia; Caudata; Ambystomatidae. The record is from RNAcentral.